Molecule: ribosomal RNA, 833 nt
Filed under: uncultured spirochete
Lineage: Bacteria; Pseudomonadati; Spirochaetota; Spirochaetia; Spirochaetales
Description: bacterial SSU rRNA
Rfam family: Bacterial small subunit ribosomal RNA
Source: RNAcentral
GUCGAGCGGCAAGGGCCUUCGGGCCCCUAGAGCGGCGGACGGGUGAGUAACACGUGGACAAUCUGCCCCCCGGUCCGGGAUAGCCCAGGGAAACCUGGAUUAAUACCGGAUGCGAGCGCGGCCACACAAGUGGUUGCGGGGAAAGGCGCUUCGGCGCCGCCGGGGGAUGAGUCCGCGGCCCAUUAGCUAGACGGCGGGGUAAAGGCCCACCGUGGCGACGAUGGGUAGCCGGCCUGAGAGGGUGAUCGGCCACAUUGGAACUGAGACACGGUCCAGACUCCUACGGGAGGCAGCAGCUAAGAAUCUUCCGCAAUGGGCGAAAGCCUGACGGAGCGACGCCGCGUGAACGAUGAAGGCCGUGAGGUUGUAAAGUUCUUUUCGGGAGGAGGAAUAAGCGGGGCAGGAAAUGGCCUUGCGAUGACGUGAAUCCCGGAAUAAGCCCCGGCUAACUACGUGCCAGCAGCCGCGGUAACACGUAGGGGGCGAGCGUUGUUCGGAAUCAUUGGGCGUAAAGGGCGUGCAGGCGGCCCUGCAAGUCCGGCGUGAAAUGCCCCGGCUCAACCGGGGAGACGCGCUGGAAACUGCGGGGCUGGAGUACAGGAGGGGAUGCCGGAAUUCCAGGUGUAGGGGUGAAAUCUGUAGAUAUCUGGAGGAACACCAAUGGCGAAGGCAGGCAUCUGGCCAUGUACUGACGCUGAGACGCGAAGGUGCGGGGAGCAAACAGGUUUAGAUACCCUGGUAGUCCGCACAGUAAACGAUGUGCACCAGGUGGCGGGGGGUCGACCCCCGGUACCGAAGCUAACGCAUUAAGUGCACCGCCUGGGGAGUAUGCU